This is a long non-coding RNA of Oncorhynchus keta (chum salmon), 758 nucleotides long. RefSeq lists it as uncharacterized. NCBI's taxonomy places the organism in Eukaryota, Metazoa, Chordata, Actinopteri, Salmoniformes, Salmonidae. The transcript is spliced from 3 exons. The record is from RefSeq and is a predicted model, not a curated record.
CGUAUUGAAACAGGUCAGAUCAGGGAUAUUGCCUCUGCGUAUUGAAACAGGUCAGAUCAGGGAUAUUGUCUCUGCGUAUUGAAACAGGUCAGAUCAGGGAUAUUGCCUCUGCGUAUUGAAACAGGUCAGAUCAGGGAUAUUGCCUCUGUGUAUUGAAACAGGUCAGAUCAGGGAUAUUGCCUCUGCGUAUUGAAACAGGUCAGAUCAGGGAUAUUGCCUCUGUGUAUUGAAACAGGUCAGAUCAGGGAUAUUGCCUCUGCGUAUUGAAACAGGUCAGAUCAGGGAUAUUGCCUCUGCGUAUUGAAACAGGUCAGAUCAGGGAUAUUGCCUCUGUGUAUUGAAACAGGUCAGAUCAGGGAUAUUGCCUCUGUGUAUUGAAACAGGUCAGAUCAGGGAUAUUGCCUCUGCGUAUUGAAACAGGUCAGAUCAGGGAUAUUGCCUCUGUGUAUUGAAACAGGUCAGAUCAGGGAUAUUGCCUCUGCGUAUUGAAACAGGUCAGAUCAGGGAUAUUGCCUCUGCGUAUUGAAACAGGUCAGAUCAGGGAUAUUGCCUCUGUGUAUUGAAACAGGUCAGAUCAGGGAUAUUGCCUCUGCGUAUUGAAACAGGUCAGAUCAGGGAUAUUGCCUCUGUGUAUUGAAACAGGUCAGAUCAGGGAUAUUGCCUCUGCGUAUUGAAACAGGUCAGAUCAGGGAUAUUGCCUCUGCGUAUUGAAACAGGUCAGAUCAGGGAUAUUGCCUCUGUGUAUUGAAACAGGUCAG